RNAcentral lists this non-coding RNA (46 nucleotides) under Trichobilharzia regenti. The record is from RNAcentral. Lineage: Eukaryota; Metazoa; Platyhelminthes; Trematoda; Strigeidida; Schistosomatidae.
GUACUGAUGAAGAGUCCCAAACUAGGACGAAACAAAUUUCCAGUAC